CCUGUCCUGUGAUGAAGCAAUGGAAAUUGCACUGUACGGUGCCUGAAAACCAUGAUUAAGAUUUCCAUGCUGCCUUCCUUCUGAGGACACU
Bufo bufo (common toad) is the source of this 91-nucleotide small nucleolar RNA. RefSeq annotates it as small nucleolar RNA U83B. The transcript has a single exon. The record is from RefSeq and is a predicted model, not a curated record. NCBI's taxonomy places the organism in Eukaryota, Metazoa, Chordata, Amphibia, Anura, Bufonidae.